CUUGCGACCAGUGUUUUAAACGAAUGCUACGAACGUGAUCAAGAACAUGCAAUACUGAUUGUUGAACGCAAAUCACCUGUCUGGAAUGGGUUGUCUGCUCUGCAGAUUGCAUCUGUGUCAGACGAUCAGAUGUUCAUUGCCUCUGGAGCGUGCCAAAGUUCCAUCGAGUCCACCUGGAAACAAGGCAUCUUGAGCAGCUGGGAAAAGGUAUUCAUGGCGAUGAUCUGCCCCAUACUUAUAGUGUGUAAAAUGGAGUUCGUGAAUGUUGGACAGAAACCACUCACCUGGUAUCAGCGUCUUG
Long non-coding RNA from Dreissena polymorpha, 301 nucleotides. RefSeq lists it as uncharacterized. The transcript has 3 exons. NCBI's taxonomy places the organism in Eukaryota, Metazoa, Mollusca, Bivalvia, Myida, Dreissenidae. The record is from RefSeq and is a predicted model, not a curated record.